GAUGCCGGCGGGCUAAUACAUGCAGUCGAGCGAAUGGAUUAAGAGCUUGCUCUUAUGAAGUUAGCGGCGGACGGGUGAGUAACACGUGGGAAACCUGCCCAUAAGACUGGGAUAACUCCGGGAAACCGGGGCUAAUACCGGAUAACAUUUUGAACCGCAUGGUUCGAAAUUGAAAGGCGGCUUCGGCUGUCACUUAUGGAUGGACCCGCGUCGCAUUAGCUAGUUGGUGAGGUAACGGCUCACCAAGGCAACGAUGCGUAGCCGACCUGAGAGGGUGAUCGGCCACACUGGGACUGAGACACGGCCCAGACUCCUACGGGAGGCAGCAGUAGGGAAUCUUCCGCAAUGGACGAAAGUCUGACGGAGCAACGCCGCGUGAGUGAUGAAGGCUUUCGGGUCGUAAAACUCUGUUGUUAGGGAAGAACAAGUGCUAGUUGAAUAAGCUGGCACCUUGACGGUACCUAACCAGAAAGCCACGGCUAACUACGUGCCAGCAGCCGCGGUAAUACGUAGGUGGCAAGCGUUAUCCGGGAAUUAUUUGGGCGUAAAGCGCGCGCAGGUGGUUUCUUAAGUCUGAUGUGAAAGCCCUCGGCUCAACCCGUGGAGGGGUCUUUGGAAACUGGGAGACUUGCCCUGCAGAAGU
Molecule: ribosomal RNA, 643 nt
Filed under: Bacillus cereus
Lineage: Bacteria; Bacillati; Bacillota; Bacilli; Caryophanales; Bacillaceae
Description: bacterial SSU rRNA
Rfam family: Bacterial small subunit ribosomal RNA
Source: RNAcentral